CUUUAGAAUGUUUUGUUAGCCAAUCCCUGUUUGCUCUAAACCUCUGAAGUGUCAAGAUAAUAACUGCCAGGGGACUGGGAGGAGAAUGGCGUCGGCUGGGGCCUGAUAAACAGUCUGCUUGUGGGGGACACCAGGUGACCAACAGAGCAAACCCCAAACCUUCCGAUCCAUGCCCAAGCAUCUGGGAGUCCAGAGGAUUUUUGCAGAAAACAUGAAGCAUCAAUAUUUUACAGUGACGCUGUGCGGUGGCUUGGAAGUCUGACUUCAGGAGAAGAGCUGACCAUCUGCCAAGGCCUGCGCACUCACAGAUGACUAAUGUUUUCCCUGGAGGACUGUGGUUCCCUGUGUUUCUGUUGCUGUCUUUUCGAUGUCACAAAGCAAGGUUGAUAAACACAUUCAAGUCACAAUUAAAAAACAUUUUCACUGACCAGUUGCCACUGAUGAUAUUAUCAGACAGCUUCAGUGGUUGUUGUAACAACGUGUUUAAUGGUGUUGAUGUACAGGAAAGAUGAAGCUGCCCUUUGUCUGGUCCUUCCCUGGCUCUGUGAUUCUUUAAUGACAUUUCCAGGUACCAGGAGUCUUGUAAGGAAAUGCUAUUCGGCAUUAAUUGGGCAGAACUCUGGGAUUUUCAGGCUAAGCCCACAGGCUGGAAGAUCUAUCUAAAUUGGAACUCACUGAACAAGACCCUCUGGAGGAAGUUCGGUCUACUGUGCAGGGGUCAGCAGAGAUCGAAAGUCGCAGAGUGUAAGCAGAAGGCUGGAUUUCAGUCGGGGAUCCUGGGCCUGUCUAAGUGACUGAGUGACUUGAGCUGAAAGGUGCACCCGCUAAGUGAACCAGAAAUACCAAGGCCAGGUCUAAAUAGACUACCAGAACUCGCUUGGACCAGGAUCUGGAAAAGAAGCAGCAGAAGAGGCACCUAUAUGAGAUCAAUACAAGUUUUAUCGAAAUUCCUGGAAACAAAUCAAGGCCACAGUAUGAAGGUGUUCUCUGGGCUUGUUCUCAGGCCAUUUCCACCAAGUCUCAUCUCUGACCUGCACAAAAUCCUUCCUCUGCAUGACCACCAGCUGGAGGUAGAUCUGGAAAACUCUUCUCUACACAGCUGCAGGUGUCCCUGGAAGUUUUGGAAGGAGCAAAGAAUAAAGUGCGGUGGAGUAGUUACCCCCCGACCAAAUACUCCAGUACAACCUCUUGAAGGAAACUCCUCUGUGGACUUCUACUAAGGACUGAAAUGAAUGUGUCCAGAUUGAUGCUUGCAGUUAUGUCUAGCUCAGCUGGUCUUCUAGAACCUCUGCCUACAACAUGAGCUGGAAUGCGCCAGUGCCAC
This is a long non-coding RNA of Canis lupus familiaris (dog), 1324 nucleotides long. RefSeq lists it as uncharacterized. The record is from RefSeq and is a predicted model, not a curated record. NCBI's taxonomy places the organism in Eukaryota, Metazoa, Chordata, Mammalia, Carnivora, Canidae. The transcript has 6 exons.